RNAcentral lists this ribosomal RNA (497 nucleotides) under uncultured bacterium. RNAcentral's name for it is "partial 16S ribosomal RNA". It matches the Rfam family "Bacterial small subunit ribosomal RNA", at positions 28 to 507 of the family's 1533-position model. The record is from RNAcentral.
GAUGAACGCUGGCGGCGUGCCUAAUACAUGCAAGUCGAGCGAACAGACGAGGAGCUUGCUCCUCUGACGUUAGCGGCGGACGGGUGAGUAACACGUGGAUAACCUACCUAUAAGACUGGGAUAACUUCGGGAAACCGGAGCUAAUACCGGAUAAUAUAUUGAACCGCAUGGUUCAAUAGUGAAAGACGGUUUUGCUGUCACUUAUAGAUGGAUCCGCGCCGAAUUAGCUAGUUGGUAAGGUAACGGCUUACCAAGGCGACGAUGCGUAGCCGACCUGAGAGGGUGAUCGGCCACACGGGAACUGAGACACGGUCCAGACUCCUACGGGAGGCAGCAGUAGGGAAUCUUCCGCAAUGGGCGAAAGCCUGACGGAGCAACGCCGCGUGAGUGAUGAAGGUCUUCGGAUCGUAAAACUCUGUUAUUAGGGAAGAACAAAUGUGUAAGUAACUAUGCACGUCUUGACGGUACCUAAUCAGAAAGCCACGGCUAACUACGUG